CUACGGGCCGCUGCAGUGGGGAAUAUUGCACAAUGGGGGAAACCCUGAUGCAGCGACGCCGCGUGAGUGAAGAAGUAUUUCGGGAUGUAAAGCUCUAUCAGCAGGGAAGAAAAUGACGGUACCUGACUAAGAAGCCCCGGCUAACUACGUGCCAGCAGCCGCGGUAAUACGUAGGGGGCAAGCGUUAUCCGGAUUUACUGGGUGUAAAGGGAGCGUAGACGGUGAGACAAGUCUGAAGUGAAAUCCCGGGGCUCAACCCCGGAACUGCUUUGGAAACUGCCUGACUAGAGUGCAGGAGAGGUAAGUGGAAUUCCUAGUGUAGCGGUGAAAUGCGUAGAUAUUAGGAGGAACACCAGUGGCGAAGGCGGCUUACUGGACUGUAACUGACGUUGAGGCUCGAAAGCGUGGGGAGCAAACAGGAUUAGAUACCCGCGUAGUC
This 439-nucleotide ribosomal RNA is filed under the name uncultured bacterium. RNAcentral describes it as "partial 16S ribosomal RNA". It matches the Rfam family "Bacterial small subunit ribosomal RNA", at positions 339 to 795 of the family's 1533-position model. The record is from RNAcentral.